Molecule: long non-coding RNA, 1137 nt
Filed under: Homo sapiens (human)
Lineage: Eukaryota; Metazoa; Chordata; Mammalia; Primates; Hominidae
Description: novel transcript
Source: RNAcentral
GUCUCACCGCUAGGGCCUGGGCAUCACAGGCAGGGGGAAUGGGGAGGGGACGGUAGCGUCAGCCUACACCCACACGCAGUUUCCUGAUAAAAGGUCCUUUGGAAACUUUGAUUCUCUUCUCACCAAGUUGAACGGAGAUGUGUUCCCAUAGUAAGAGUGAGGCCCCUGCAUUUGCUGCCCUCGGUUUUCCCAACUAACACCAGGGCCUCCCCCCUGUACCCCAUUCAUAUGCCUCAGAAGCUGACAAUGACUGUUGGGCUUUUCCAAUGAAUACCAGAACACCAUUUCCUGCAGCCUGAAAAGAAGACAGUAUAAUUGUUUGGCAGCAAGAGACAGGAUCUCGCUGCGUUGCUCAGACUGGUCUCGAACUCCUGGGCUUAAGGGAUUCUCCUGCCUCAAUCACAGCCUCCCAAGUAGCUGAGAUUAAAAGUGCUCACCACCGUGCCAGCGAGUUCAGUUUUUGAGUGUCCUCCGACACUGACUCUGUGCUUGGCCCUGUGACUUGCUUUGGCCAAUGGUACAGCAGCAAACUUGAUGCAAACACAACUUGAAAAAGAAGAGGACAGCCAAGUCAUCCCAGCCAAGGCCACCCUGGACCAGCCAGCCUCUUGCCAAGCUGCCAGUGACCACAGAGUCCAAUUAACAACAGCCAGUCCUGGCCCAGGCCAAGCUCAUAUGCCAAUUUCCUCAUGGAACCUUUCACUCCUCCAUCUCUUCGCCAAGUUGAAAUGUUAACUUCUGCUUCUCUGGGAUACUUCGGACCUUUGUUUAAAGCUCUCCCAUCUGCUUUCUGCGCUAUGUUUAGGGUUAUGUCUGGAUGGGAAUAGGUCUGUCUCUUGCCACUACUGGUAAAAUUGGUUCUUGCUUAGCAUGAUGUGGGCUCCCCACAUCUGGCACAGUGACUUGCGCAGGGUGGAGCCAAGACUCUGAGGAGAGGGCUGAACUGUGAACCUAGAAGUACCAUCUCCCCCUGCACACACCUUUGGUCAAGUUGACCCCAAGAAGAAGGACAAGUCCUCUGCACGGCGAUGAGGCCAUACACACAGUCUGUGGCCCGGCUUUGGGAGACUGAUGGGACAAAGGAUGUUUUGCACGAUCCUUGGUCUCUGAGCAAAUAUAUACAUGGGUUAACACAAA